RNAcentral lists this ribosomal RNA (422 nucleotides) under uncultured bacterium. RNAcentral describes it as "bacterial SSU rRNA". It matches the Rfam family "Bacterial small subunit ribosomal RNA", at positions 355 to 774 of the family's 1533-position model. The record is from RNAcentral.
UGAGGAAUAUUGGUCAAUGGGGGCAACCCCGAACCAGCCAAGUCGCGUGAAGGAUGAAGGUCUUAUGGAUUGUAAACUUCUUUUAUACAGGAAUAAAUUGGGGGACGUGUCCCCUUUUGCAUGUACUGUAUGAAUAAGGAUCGGCUAACUCCGUGCCAGCAGCCGCGGUAAUACGGAGGAUCCGAGCGUUAUCCGGAUUUAUUGGGUUUAAAGGGUGCGCAGGCGGGAUGUUAAGUCGGCGGUGAAAUUUUUCGGCUUAACCGAGAGACUGCCAUUGAUACUGUGUUGCUAGAAUAUGGUUGCUGUGAGUGGAAUGUGUGGUGUAGCGGUGAAAUGCUUAGAUAUCACACAGAAUAUCGAUUGCGAAGGCAGCUCACAAAGCCAUUAUUGACGCUGAGGCACGAAAGUGUGGGGAUCAAACA